UACGUAGGGGGCAAGCGUUAUCCGGAAUUAUUGGGCGUAAAGGGCGUGUAGGCGGGUAUUUAAGUCAGAUGUGAAAACGUGGGGCUCAACCCCAUGAUUGCAUCUGAUACUGGGUACCUUGAGGGCAGGAGAGGAAAGUGGAAUUCCUAGUGUAGCGGUGAAAUGCGUAGAUAUUAGGAGGAACACCAGUGGCGAAGGCGACUUUCUGGACUGCAACUGACGCUGAGGCGCGAAAGCGUGGGGAG
Molecule: ribosomal RNA, 245 nt
Filed under: uncultured bacterium
Lineage: Bacteria
Description: partial 16S ribosomal RNA
Rfam family: Bacterial small subunit ribosomal RNA
Source: RNAcentral